AUUGAACGCUGGCGGCAGGCCUAACACAUGCAAGUCGAGCGCGCGGCGGGCGCGUGUGAGAAGUCUGUGAAACUGCCUGAUGGAGGGGGGGAACUACACUAAAAGGUAUCUCAUACCCCGUACCCUCACAUAUGCCCCCAGGGGAUUAGCUAGUAGGUGGGGUAACGGCUCACCUAGGCGACGCUCCCUAGCUGGUCUGAGAGGAUGACCAGCCACACUGGAACUGAGACACGGUCCAGACUCCUACGGGAGGCAGCAGGGGGGAAUAUUGCACAAUGGGCGCAAGCCUGAUGCAGCCAUGCCGCGUGUGUGAAGAAGGCCUUCGGGUUGUAAAGCACUUUCAGCGAGGAGGCGUUACUCGCAGAAGAAGCACCGGCUAACUCCGUGCCAGCAGCCGCGGUAAUAC
This 406-nucleotide ribosomal RNA is filed under the name uncultured bacterium. RNAcentral describes it as "partial 16S ribosomal RNA". It matches the Rfam family "Bacterial small subunit ribosomal RNA", at positions 30 to 526 of the family's 1533-position model. The record is from RNAcentral.